This 1170-nucleotide long non-coding RNA is filed under the name Brassica napus (rape). RNAcentral's name for it is "long non-coding RNA (BNAP_LNC017731)". The record is from RNAcentral. Lineage: Eukaryota; Viridiplantae; Streptophyta; Magnoliopsida; Brassicales; Brassicaceae.
CCAGCUACUGUUACGAGCUACUUUCAAAAAAAUGAGAGAGGAUAGUACACAUAUGAUGAAUAACAAGGUUAGGAAGCCGCAAGAUAUGGAUUUGAGGGCUCCUUGCUGAAACUAAAUGUGGUUGGUCUGCUAUUCCAGUUCGCCCUAUUUUUUCUUUGACAUAUUUUCCCAGCCGCCAAGACUCUUCCGGUAGAACUCUGCCUCUUCGGUGGGUGUCGCUACCCAACGGUGCCGGUGACUGUCUCUAAUUUUGUUUCUUCUGCUUCGCUUUGAUUUAGCUCGAGCCUGUUUGGAGUUUUCCAGAGUUUGUACAUCUCUGAUGAUCUGGCUUUUGCGGAUCCUUUGAGUGCUUUUGAACUGGCGUGUUGUGGGUUGGCAGUUGGGAUUUUGUCUCCUUCAUGUCUCGAUCCAUCUUCGCUACUCUGUGGUAUGGUAGUGGCUUUUAGCCUGCUGUCUUAUUGUCUUUGUGGUGUUUCCCUGGGUUGCUUGUUUGAGUCUUCUGAUGGUUUGAUGCUAGUCUUCCUUGAUGUGUUAUAUCCGGGUUGUGCUCUUACUCGUUUCAUCUGGAAUGGUUAUGUUCUUGUUCCGCUUGCCUCCUUUUGCUAGGUUCAGCUUCUUCUCGGGUUUGUUUCUCUUAAAACUUGUGGAUUGGAGCUGCCUUCUUUGUGGCGCUGUAUUUGGUUUAUUUUUCCUGUUCUUGCCUUCUUUAAGGUUUGAAUCUUGCUUAGUUCGAGAUGGUUCCUUGUUAUGAGUUAAUCGGUUUGUGUUAUUCUGGUUUAAUGGAUUGUACUUGUGGCUUCGUCGGGAUCUUUUGAAUACCUUGGGACGAGGGUUAAGAAAGAUAUCCAUAUUUGCCUUACCUCAAGUCGGUUUUGUGCUGGUUUUUUUGGCACUUUGGUUGAGAGUUCUUUUCUCUUUUCCAGCUAUGCUGGCAGUGUAAUUUGAUAUCCUUUAUGUCUGGACAUGUGACAUAACUCUGGCUGUGAGCAAGUUGUCCGGGAACUUGAGUUUCCCUACGGUUCCUCACUUUUUGCUGAAGGCUCUGGUUUGUUAAUGGUACCUACUGGCAUCAGCUUAUUAUGUCGCUUCUUUCUUUGUUUUAAACUUUCCUUUCAGCUGGUUCUAUUCGGUUCUUUCAAGACCCUGUUGUAACAAUUUAUUCAAUAAGCG